GAGCAGUUUUGGGGACGCUGGAAGAGGGAAUAUUUAUUGAAUAUUUCCCUGCGUCAGAAAUGGCAUAAGCCUCGGCGCAACCUUAAAACAAACGACAUUGUCAUCGUCAUUGAGGAUACACUUCCGAGGAAUCAGUGGCAGUUGGGGCGAGUGGUGGAGACCAUUCAAGGAACUGAUAAGUUGGUUCGUAGGGUUAGGGUUCAAGUCACAGAUCGGAGGCUGCAUGGGAAAUCGGACCCCCCUUUUAGGACCGUCAUCCUUGAGAGACCCAUCCAGAAGUUAGUGUUGUUGCUUGGAAAUGAAUGAUUGGAAAAUUUGAUUCCUUAUUUUAGUUGUGAGACAGUUCGGUGUCAGAGUUUUAACUGUUUGUGAAUCAUGUAUAAUUCGAUUGAUUAUGAAUUUAUCGUGGUAUGAUUGGGGGGAGUGUAAUUGACACCGAAUUGUCUUGGAGUGGCCACAGGAGGCGGUGUGUGUGGUGGAGAGGAGGUGAAGGACCAGCAAAAGGGAAUUAGGUUUUAUGGCCCUCACCUGCUUUCUGUUGGCAUGCGUUGCCUCAUUUUCGUUUGUUUGGUGUGGCGUGGUGUCCGGUUUCCCCGUGGCUUCUUUUUCCUUGUUGGAUGUUUGCUUGUCUUAAGGUGACGGGCAGCCUUAUAGAUGAUCCGUAAUAUAGCACCCCUCGGUGACGGAACGAGGUACGUUUGCCUUUUGUGAUUUAGUUGUUGUGAUAAUUGUAAGUUUCCUGUUGAUGAUGUAUUGUAAAUAAAUUGUUUUUUUUGUAUCUGUUUUUAAGUUUUCACGGUGCACAAUGAAGUGGAAAUAAAGAGUUGAAGCACC
This is a long non-coding RNA of Archocentrus centrarchus (flier cichlid), 834 nucleotides long. RefSeq lists it as uncharacterized. Lineage: Eukaryota; Metazoa; Chordata; Actinopteri; Cichliformes; Cichlidae. The transcript has 2 exons. The record is from RefSeq and is a predicted model, not a curated record.